ACGAAAGCUAGCCCAAUCGACUUUAAAUUAAACUAUCACAGAGUUACAAAACAAAACAUUUAGUCAAACCAUUAAAGUAUAGGAGAUAGAAAUUCUAAUUGGAGCUAUAGAGAUAGUACCGCAAGGGAAUGAUGAAAGACAUUUUCAAAGUACAAAACAGCAAAGAUUACACCUUGUACCUUUUGCAUAAUGAGCUAGCUAGAAAUAACUUAACAAAGAGAACUUAAGCUAAGUACCCCGAAACCAGACGAGCUACCUAUGAACAAUCUAAAAGGAUCAACUCGUCUAUGUGGCAAAAUAGUGAGAAGAUUUAUAGGUAGAGGUGAAAAGCCAAACGAGCCUGGUGAUAGCUGGUUACCCACAAACAGAAUUUUAGUUCAACUUUAAAUUUACCUAAAAAAACGAAAUUUCAAUGUAAAUUUAAAAUAUAAUCUAAAAAGGUACAGCUUUUUAGAGCAAGGACACAACCUUUAUUAGAGAGUAAAUAUUAACAUAACCAUAGUUGGCCUAAAAGCAGCCAUCAAUUGAGAAAGCGUUCAAGCUCAACAAACAAUGCAACUUAAUCCCAACCGUAUUGCAUCAACUCCUAAUUCACCUCCUGGGUUAUUCUAUUUAAGUAUAGAAGCAAUAAUGCUAGUAUGAGUAACAAGAAUUAUUUCUCCCCGCAUAAGCUUAUAUCAGAAACGGAUAGACCACUGAUAGUUAACAACCUGAUAAAACCAACCCAAAAAUAAAACACUUAUCUACCCCAUUGUUAACCCAACACAGGUAUGCACUCAAGGAAAGAUUAAAAGAAGUAAAAGGAACUCGGCAAACAUAAACCCCGCCUGUUUACCAAAAACAUCACCUCCAGCAUUACCAGUAUUGGAGGCACUGCCUGCCCAGUGACAUCCGUUAAACGGCCGCGGUAUCCUGACCGUGCAAAGGUAGCAUAAUCAUUUGUUCUCUAAAUAGGGACUUGUAUGAAUGGCCACACGAGGGUUUAACUGUCUCUUACUUCCAAUCAGUGAAAUUGACCUUCCCGUGAAGAGGCGGGAAUACUAUAAUAAGACGAGAAGACCCUAUGGAGCUUUAAUUAAUUAGCCCAAACUUAUGAACUUCAAACCCCACUGGGAAUAACAUACUACCAUUGUUAUGGGCUAACAAUUUAGGUUGGGGUGACCUCGGAAUAUAAAAAAACUCCCGAGUGAUUAAAAUUUAGACCUACCAGUCAAAAUGUACCAUCAUUUAUUGAUCCAAUAAUCUUUGAUCAACGAAACAAGUUACCCUAUUUAAGAGUCCAUAUCGACAAUAGGGUUUACGACUCCUAAUGGUGCAGCAGCUAUUAAGGGUUCGUUUGUUCAACGAUUAAAGUCCUACGUGAUCUGAGUUCAGACCGGAGUAAUCCAGGUCGGUUUCUAUCUAUUAAACAGUUUCUCCCAGUACGAAAGGACAAGAGAAAUAAGGCCUACCUUACAGAGGCGCCUUAGAACUAAUAGAUGAAGUUAAGCUCAAUCUAACCAGUUUAUCCCUCUAAAAGCCCAAGAAAAGGGGGCUUU
Molecule: ribosomal RNA, 1538 nt
Filed under: Vulpes vulpes (red fox)
Lineage: Eukaryota; Metazoa; Chordata; Mammalia; Carnivora; Canidae
Description: 16S ribosomal RNA
Rfam family: Bacterial large subunit ribosomal RNA
Source: RNAcentral